Molecule: ribosomal RNA, 663 nt
Filed under: uncultured bacterium
Lineage: Bacteria
Description: bacterial SSU rRNA
Rfam family: Bacterial small subunit ribosomal RNA
Source: RNAcentral
GUUUACUUAUGAGGUGGCGAGCGGCGGACGGGUGAGUAAUGCCUAGGGAUCUGCCCAGUCGAGGGGGAUAACAGUUGGAAACGACUGCUAAUACCGCAUACGCCCUACGGGGGAAAGGAGGGGACCUUUUGGCCUUCCGCGAUUGGAUGAACCUAGGUGGGAUUAGCUAGUUGGUGAGGUAAUGGCUCACCCAGGCGACCAUUCCUAGCUGUUCUGAAAAGAUGAUUCGCCCCACUGGGACUGAGACACGGGCCAGACUCCUACNGGAGGCAGCAGUGGGGAAUAUUGCACAAUGGGGGAAACCCUGAUGCAGCCAUGCCGCGUGUGUGAAGAAGGCCUUCGGGUUGUAAAGCACUUUCAGUAGGGAGGAAAGGUUGUGAGUUAAUACCUUGCAGCUGUGACGUUACCUACAGAAGAAGGACCGGCUAACUCCGUGCCAGCAGCCGCGGUAAUACGGAGGGUCCAAGCGUUAAUCGGAAUUACUGGGCGUAAAGCGUGCGCAGGCGGUUUGUUAAGCGAGAUGUGAAAGCCCCGGGCUCAACCUGGGAAUUGCAUUUCGAACUGGCAAACUAGAGUCUUGUAGAGGGGGGUAGAAUUCCAGGUGUAGCGGUGAAAUGCGUAGAGAUCUGGAGGAAUACCGGUGGCGAAGGCGGCCCCCUGGAC